This 731-nucleotide long non-coding RNA is filed under the name Apteryx rowi (Okarito brown kiwi). RNAcentral describes it as "lncRNA (ENSARWG00000017713.1)". The record is from RNAcentral. Lineage: Eukaryota; Metazoa; Chordata; Aves; Apterygiformes; Apterygidae.
CUUGGCUGGAGAUUCUGCAGGAGUCCAGGAUCACUUCUUCCGUUCUCAUGCACUUACUGCUAAAGAAAUGUGCUUAUCUCCUAUUUCUGUCCAAAAAAGAUGAUCAUCAAGAAAAGUGGAUAAGUUAUGAACUUUUUAAGCUUCAUCCUGCAAAUAAGGUGACUCAAGGCUGAGCUCCCGUUGUUGCUCUUAACUUGAUCUAAGCCUCCUUUCCUAGCUUCUCCAAGAGCAUUUUGGAACCACUUUGCCCUGAAACCCUGAGAUCAGAGGAGAACACUGGGGGAUUAGGUUUAAACUUGUUAAACUGAAUUAACACUCCUACCACAUGAUUCUGGCCUGUGCCAGUCCUUCUAAUCUUGUUCAGAGUUUAGGAUAAUUUGUUUAGUAGUGCUGAUCAGCUGGAGGUUAAUUCAAUUGGAGUUUGGUUAUUUAUUCAUGCCCGGAUUUGCUAAGUGUCACAGCAGAUACAUGAGGUCUCUGUUGCAGUUAUGAGACGGCUUCAUUAGUGUGACGGAGAGUCCAUCUGGAUGACUUCCUUUCCUCACUGCAAUAACUGGCUGUCAGGGCUCUCUCCAGUGGAAGAAAUCCUUAUAUAAUGUCUCCCUUUCAUUUGUGUCAUAAGUGUAUUGAUUGCAACUUAAAAUAUACUUCUCUGUUCUGAUUGCUGGUUUUGCCAAUAAUCUUACUCAGGGAUCUCAGUAAUAUUCCUGCUCUAUAUUUUAAAUUGAUAU